Megalops atlanticus (tarpon) is the source of this 70-nucleotide non-coding RNA. The record is from the annotation of a GenBank genome assembly. Lineage: Eukaryota; Metazoa; Chordata; Actinopteri; Elopiformes; Megalopidae.
AGCAGUGUGGUGUAGUGGUAAGGAGCCUGGCUUAUAACCAAAAGGUUGCUGGUUCAAUUCCCCACUGGGA